RNAcentral lists this ribosomal RNA (450 nucleotides) under uncultured bacterium. RNAcentral describes it as "partial 16S ribosomal RNA". It matches the Rfam family "Bacterial small subunit ribosomal RNA", at positions 354 to 796 of the family's 1533-position model. The record is from RNAcentral.
GUGGGGAAUUUUGGACAAUGGGCGCAAGCCUGAUCCAGCAAUGCCGCGUGUGUGAAGAAGGCCUUCGGGUUGUAAAGCACUUUUGGCAGGAAAGAAAUAGCGCGUGCUAAUACCAUGCGCGAAUGACGGUACCUGCAGAAUAAGCACCGGCUAACUACGUGCCAGCAGCCGCGGUAAGACGUAGGGUGCAAGCGUUAAUCGGAAUUACUGGGCGUAAAGCGUGCGCAGGCGGUUUUGAAAGACAGGUGUGAAAUCCCCGGGCUCAACCUGGGAACUGCACUUGUGACUGCAAGGCUAGAGUGUGUCAGAGGGAGGUGGAAUUCCGCGUGUAGCAGUGAAAUGCGUAGAGAUGCGGAGGAACACCGAUGGCGAAGGCAGCCUCCUGGGAUAACACUGACGCUCAGGCACGAAAGCGUGGGGAGCAAACAGGAUUAGAUACCCGUGUAGUCC